GACGAACGCUGGCGGCGUGCUUAACACAUGCAAGUCGAACGGAAGGGCCCUGCUUUUGUGGGGUGCUCGAGUGGCGAACGGGUGAGUAACACGUGAGUAACCUGCCCUUGACUUUGGGAUAACUUCAGGAAACUGGGGCUAAUACCGGAUAGGAGCUCCUGCUGCAUGGUGGGGGUUGGAAAGUUUCGGCGGGUGGGGAUGGACUCGCGGCUUAGCAGCUUGUUGGUGGGGUAGUGGCUUACCAAGGCUUUGACGGGUAGCCGGCCUGAGAGGGUGACCGGCCACAUUGGGACUGAGAUACGGCCCAGACUCCUACGGGAGGCAGCAGUGGGGAAUAUUGCACGACGGGCGGAUGCCUGAUGCAGCAACGCCGCGUGCGGGAUGACGGCCUUCGGGUUGUAAACCGCUUUCGCCUGUGACGAAGCGCGAGUGACGGUAAUGGGUAAAGAAGCACCGGCUAACUACGUG
This 468-nucleotide ribosomal RNA is filed under the name uncultured bacterium. Its description in RNAcentral is "partial 16S ribosomal RNA". It matches the Rfam family "Bacterial small subunit ribosomal RNA", at positions 28 to 507 of the family's 1533-position model. The record is from RNAcentral.